CCUACGGGAGGCAGCAGUGAGGAAUAUUGGUCAAUGGGCGUAAGCCUGAACCAGCCAAGUCGCGUGAGGGAUGAAUGUUCUAUGGAUCGUAAACCUCUUUUAUAAGGGAAUAAAGUGCGGGACGUGUCCCGUUUUGUAUGUACCUUAUGAAUAAGGAUCGGCUAACUCCGUGCCAGCAGCCGCGGUAAUACGGAGGAUCCGAGCGUUAUCCGGAUUUAUUGGGUUUAAAGGGUGCGUAGGCGGCUUUUUAAGUCAGCGGUGAAAGUUUGUGGCUCAACCAUAGAAUUGCAGUUGAAACUGGCAGGCUUGAGUAUGUUUGAGGCAGGCGGAAUUCGUGGUGUAGCGGUGAAAUGCUUAGAUAUCACGAAGAACCCCGAUUGCGAAGGCAGCCUACCAAGCCAUGACUGACACUGAUGCACGAAAGCGUGGGGAUCAAACAGGAUUAGAUACCCGGGUAGUC
This 460-nucleotide ribosomal RNA is filed under the name uncultured bacterium. RNAcentral describes it as "partial 16S ribosomal RNA". It matches the Rfam family "Bacterial small subunit ribosomal RNA", at positions 338 to 795 of the family's 1533-position model. The record is from RNAcentral.